UGGGGAAUUUUGGACAAUGGGCGCAAGCCUGAUCCAGCCAUGCCGCGUGCAGGAUGAAGGCCUUCGGGUUGUAAACUGCUUUUGUACGGAACGAAAAGGUGCCUUCUAAUAAAGGGCGCUCAUGACGGUACCGUAAGAAUAAGCACCGGCUAACUACGUGCCAGCAGCCGCGGUAAUACGUAGGGUGCGAGCGUUAAUCGGAAUUACUGGGCGUAAAGCGUGCGCAGGCGGUUUUGUAAGACAGAGGUGAAAUCCCCGGGCUCAACCUUGGAACUGCCUUUGNGACUGCAAGGCUGGAGUGCGGCAGAGGGGGAUGGAAUUCCGCGUGUAGCAGUGAAAUGCGUAGAUAUGCGGAGGAACACCGAUGGCGAAGGCAAUCCCCUGGGCCUGCACUGACGCUCAUGCACGGAAGCGUGGGGAGCAAACA
Molecule: ribosomal RNA, 427 nt
Filed under: uncultured bacterium
Lineage: Bacteria
Description: bacterial SSU rRNA
Rfam family: Bacterial small subunit ribosomal RNA
Source: RNAcentral